UACAGAGGGGGCAAGCGUUGUUCGGAAUUACUGGGCGUAAAGGGCGCGUAGGCGGCCUGUUAAGUCGAACGUGAAAUCCCCGGGCUCAACCCGGGAACUGCGUCCGAUACUGGCAGGCUUGAAUUCGGGAGAGGGAUGUGGAAUUCCAGGUGUAGCGGUGAAAUGCGUAGAUAUCUGGAGGAACACCGGUGGCGAAGGCGGCACCCUGGACCGAUAUUGACGCUGAUGCGCGAAAGCCAGGGGAGCAAACGGG
RNAcentral lists this ribosomal RNA (253 nucleotides) under uncultured bacterium. RNAcentral describes it as "partial 16S ribosomal RNA". It matches the Rfam family "Bacterial small subunit ribosomal RNA", at positions 524 to 776 of the family's 1533-position model. The record is from RNAcentral.